RNAcentral lists this ribosomal RNA (245 nucleotides) under uncultured Ignavibacterium sp. Its description in RNAcentral is "partial 16S ribosomal RNA". It matches the Rfam family "Bacterial small subunit ribosomal RNA", at positions 524 to 768 of the family's 1533-position model. The record is from RNAcentral. Lineage: Bacteria; Pseudomonadati; Ignavibacteriota; Ignavibacteria; Ignavibacteriales; Ignavibacteriaceae.
UACGUAGGGGGCAAGCGUUGUCCGGAUUUACUGGGUGUAAAGGGCGCGCAGGCGGAAUAUCAAGUCAGAGGUGAAAUCCUACAGCUUAACUGUAGAACUGCCUUUGAUACUGUUAUUCUUGAGUUCGGGAGAGAGAGACGGAAUUCCAGGUGUAGUGGUGAAAUACGUAGAUAUCUGGAAGAACACCAGUUGCGAAGGCGGUCUCUUGGUCCGAUACUGACGCUGAGGCGCGAAAGCGUGGGGAG